AAUUUGGGUGCCCGCCGAGGGUAGUAUCGACAUUCCACGUCAUGUCCAUUGUGUGGCACUCCGCAUGUGGUUGGCUCUUGGGGGUAAAGGUGAGGAGCCCGAUUGGAUGAGAGAAAACCCAAGUCGACGCUCUCUCUUUCCCCCUCCUCGCCGUCGCUGCAUCCUGGCGUCGUCGUUGCGUCGUCCUCCUCCCCAUCCCACCUCUUCCCUUCCCGUCGCCUACCCUCCCUGCCUCGCCUCUUCUCUCCCUUCCCGUCGCCCACCCUCCCCGCAUCGCCUCUUCUCCUUUGCGUCGCCUAGGUUGGGCAGAGCCGCUGGGCUCAUCUUCCUCGCUGGCCGCCGCUCCCAUCGCCACACCGCACGAGAGGGUGAAGAGGACGAACCAAGGCGCCUCCUACAUCGAGCCCUCCUCAGUUUGUUCCGGAUCUGACCGCACACUUCACGUCCGCCAUCCGUUGUAUGUCGUUCGCUCGGUUGCCGCCAUGGUAACCCUUGCUCAAGUCGUGGAGGGGCGGCUGGUAGCGGUGAAUGGUGGAGAUCCACCACUGGUGGCAAGGAAAACGAGUCAACAUCGAUGCCAUCCGGCGCCUCCGCCCCGCGACCCUAAUGUACAAAAAAACAUCAUUGGCCACUCUUGGUCCAUUGUGAGACUUGCCAUAUAUACAUGGUUGGUAAGAGCAGCAGGUUAAUUUGAUGGGCAUAAGCAUUAGUGAGUUGAUGAAGAAUGAUGCCCAUUGGUUGGCAUUUAUGAUAUAGCUUCCGACGUCGGAGGUUCCAUAGAAUUUGUGAAGAGAAGUACAUCAACAGAAAGACCUUUCUUCUGGUAAUGCACCCUUUUUUGUUUCAUGUAUUUAUUUAGGAUAUUCACCAUUUGUAAUAUUAUUCAUUAGCUAUUAUGUUCUGAUUUGUAUUUGUGGCUUUCUCCGGAUAAUUGUAUGUACUGGGAGAGGAGGUUUCCAUGACUAUCGAGCAUUCAUCAGUUACAACAGCUGAUGAAGAAUGGUGCCCUUUGGUUGGCAUUUAUUCUAUAACUUGUGACGUCGGAGGUUCCAUAGGAUUUGUGAAAAAAUUUGCAUCAAUAGAAAGGUCUUUCUUUCGAUAAUGCACUCCCUUCUCUGUUGCAUAUAUUUACUCCCUCCGUUUGUUUUAGUCUGCAUAUAAAGUUUGGUCAAAGUCAAGUUUUGUAAAGUUUGACUAAUUUUAUAUUAAAAAUAUCAACAUUCACAAUAUGAAACCAAUAUUACCAGAUGUGUCAUGAAAUAUAUUUUCAUACUAUAUAGUUUUAGUAUUAUAUAUGUUCUUAUUUUUUGAUAUAAAUUUGGUCACACUUUGUGUACUUUGACUUUACCAAAUCUUAUAUGUGGAGUAAAAAGAAACGAAGAGAGUACUUUAGGUAUUAACCAUGGACACAUAAAUGUAAAUUGCUUGUGAUCUUCUGCCAAUUUUCUGUUAAAUAAGUAUAACCAUCUCUGGUAAAUACCAAUGAGGAAAUUACUUUUAGGAUAUAAGCAAUGAGGAGAGAGUGGCUCUUAGUUUUUACUUUAUGAAUAUCCACAUCAAUUCUUUGGAUGUGGUGCACACAAAAUUAGAUCUCACCUUUGGUUUGAUUUUAAAUCGAGAGGAACCAAUGGAGCAGUCGAUUCAUAGGCAAAAGAUCUAAGAUCAGUUAACUUGAUUAUCAUACUAUAGGGAGUUCAAAUCCCUUUAUAUUCCAAAAUUAACAAAACUGAGAUGUAAAACUUUGUCAGUGUUGAAUAAUGCAUCAAAUAACAUUUUGGAAUCCUUUUGCUUUAAUUAUGUUAUACUUACCAACUUACCUUUCUGAACUAGUAUACUCUGUUUCGAUAAAACAAGAAAGAAGGAACCGAAGAGGUCCUAAUAUUUAUGGGAAGUGUAUCUUAUGUUCCUUAUUUUGUUUUUUCUUGCUAAAAGGUUCUAAUUUGCCUAAAAAGGUCUUGACUUGCUAUGUUUGCUUACUGGUUCUUUGUUCCUUUGAUUUUGAUUUCUCAGUUCCCUCUUUUUUGUUUUUCCUAGGUUCAUGUUAGCUGAUUGACUGUAUGUUGUUUCUUUACAACUUAAAGAAAUGCAGUCUAGUCUACAAACAAGUCGAUUAAGUGUUCAUAGGUUGCUUGCAAGUCCGUAGAGAUGCUAACUUGGAAGCAACUAUAUAUGUUACUACUUCUCAUCAAUCUGAACGGAUACUACUUUUUUAGGCUUUUGCACAAUAACAGAAUUAGCGUUUGGCUGCUAUAUUUACCCUUGACGUUGGUUCGCCUAUAUAAGUCACUUGCUUAGCUACUUCAAACCUGCUUCUAAAAGAUGGGAGUUUUAUUGUCGCCACAAGUAAAUUUGCUUGCCUUCUUCUAGCUUCUUUCUUGGUUUAUCCAACUAUUUUGCAUUUAAUCAUCAGUUUCUGGCAUUGCAAACUUGAUUGAUUUCAUAUGACUUCCCGUUUCAUGGCUUCAAACUUGCUUCUAAAGGAUGAAAGUUCUAUUGCUGCCACAAGUAAAAUUGCUUGCAUUCGGCUCCUUACCUGGUUUAUCCAACUAUUUUGCAAUCAAUGUUGGUUGCUGAUAUUGCAAAGUUGCUUAAUCUAUCUUGCUGAGAAUUUCUAGUUGCUAGAAGUUAGCUUCUCUAUACAGUCUGAUAUCGCUGAUCUCAAAUGAAUCUUUAUUUAUUUCUUGUUUUAAUUAGUGCACCAAUUUUAUUUUUCCCCGCAAUGGUUUUGAAGAUAUAUAGCUGUGGCGCAGACGGCAACCAACUUCAACCAGCUUCAGAGUACUCUGCUACCCUAUUUCUCCUUGUCGCUGCCUACUCGGCUUCGUUUGGCAUUAUUUCCAUAGGUACUUAUCGAUGUAGAUUGGGCAUGGACUGUUGCCUCACAUUUCUUUCAAGCAGUCACGACUUUGGCUGGUUGGAGGUUUCUUGUCUGCUCAGUUUUGUGCAGCCUGUACUUGGCCUAGCGCUCGCUAAGAACCAGAAGCUAGGGCCAUUCAUGUAGCUGCUACCCAUGUGCAGCAAGCUGCUCAACCAAGGUGAGAUAUGCUAAUCUCCCACUUACUGCUUUGUCAGCUGGAUGGUGUGAUUUUACUUCAUUAGUGGGAGUGGGAGUGUUGUUCCUCUGUCCAAGGGAUUCACUAUCUUCAGUGAGUGCAAUCAUUUUGUUUAAAUGGAGGUGUUAGAUCUAAAUUUACAUUGACUGCAUCACACUCUAAUGUCUUUUGGUUAGAUCAACCUGUAGAACAAACUAUAUGCUGGCCAUCAUCAUGUUUUAGCCUUUUAGGUAUAUUAGAUAAGUAUAUCUAAGAAAUGGCUAGUGUCUUGUGAGGAUUGAGAAAAGUAGUGGUUUGUGUUACUGUGAAUGAUCAUACAAAUUAUGUUGGAUUUGGUUCUUAUGUGCAUAUGCUUUUUGAUAUCUUCCUUUGGCCAGUUAGUGUCUAUCCAUUAUAUUAUUAUAUUGUGUCUAUGGUGAAAACUAACCUAACAGGUGUUGGGGAACGUUGCAUGGAAAACAAAAAAAAUCCUACGCACACGCAAGAUCUAUCCAUGGAGAUGCAUAGCUACGAGAGG
Molecule: long non-coding RNA, 3570 nt
Organism: Triticum dicoccoides
Lineage: Eukaryota; Viridiplantae; Streptophyta; Magnoliopsida; Poales; Poaceae
Exons: 6
Source: RefSeq, a predicted model, not a curated record